This 507-nucleotide long non-coding RNA is filed under the name Homo sapiens (human). RNAcentral's name for it is "LHRI_LNC1194.2". Lineage: Eukaryota; Metazoa; Chordata; Mammalia; Primates; Hominidae. The record is from RNAcentral.
AGGUAUGAGCCUUGCAAGAAGACAUACAUAUUUUGCUGAUUGCCAAGGGGAUAAUGCAUUGGGUAUAAGAAGAAGGAAAGUAGAGGAACCAAUUAAGAAAUAUUUACUACAAUUAAGAAGAGAUGAUAAUAACUUCGACCAAGGUGGAGGCUAUGAAGAUGGAGCAAUGCGAAUACAUGGAGACAUGUUUUUGAUGUAGACUCAGCAAGAAAUUCUAAUAUAUUAGAUUUUAUGUUUUGGGAGAAAAAGAGACAUCUCCAAGAUUAUGGCUUGAAUAGAUUGGGACUAAUAGUGAAACUUGAGAGUGAUCACAUAUGGAGAUGAAAGAUUGAAAGACCUCUCGCUGAACAUAAUAUAGAAGGUCUAAAAUACUCUCAAGUCCCCUCCAUCUCAAAAUGACAGCAGUAACAGUGAAAACUAAACAUAGCUGUACCAAGAGGAAAGGCCAUAUGAGGACAUAGCAAGAAGGUGGCUGUAUACAAGUCAGGAAAAGAGGCUUCAACAGAA